This 253-nucleotide ribosomal RNA is filed under the name uncultured bacterium. Its description in RNAcentral is "partial 16S ribosomal RNA". It matches the Rfam family "Bacterial small subunit ribosomal RNA", at positions 524 to 776 of the family's 1533-position model. The record is from RNAcentral.
UACGAAGGGGGCUAGCGUUGUUCGGAAUUACUGGGCGUAAAGCGCGCGCAGGCGGCUUGGUAAGUUGGGGGUGAAAUCCCUGGGCUCAACCCAGGAAUGGCCUUCAAGACUGCUUGGCUGGAGGACGAGAGAGGUGAGUGGAAUUCCCAGUGUAGAGGUGAAAUUCGUAGAUAUUGGGAAGAACACCGGUGGCGAAGGCGGCUCACUGGCUCGUUUCUGACGCUGAGGCACGAAAGUGUGGGGAUCAAACAGG